GGACCCGCCGUACUUCCUUUGACUACUCCUGAGAUAUAGUGGAAACAUUUUGUUAUGGUGGAGAGUGGGGAGUGAAAAGACCAAUGCAGCAGAGAACGACUGCAUGAAUCGGAAUCCACUUAUUAAGACAGACGACCGAGAAAGAAAGGCUCCGCGUUCGAACAUUGGUUGAUCUUAGCUUAGCGUGCUAGCCGCUGCUUCAUUUCGUAUAGUGAUAACGCUUUCUCUUUCUUAGCGCUCCGCCCCCCUUGUAUAGUAAGGGCUACUUUGGCUGCACGGCUUUCUCUUAUAGGGUGACUUGACUUAGCUUGACC
This 314-nucleotide long non-coding RNA is filed under the name Nicotiana benthamiana. Its description in RNAcentral is "long non-coding RNA (NBEN_LNC025783)". Lineage: Eukaryota; Viridiplantae; Streptophyta; Magnoliopsida; Solanales; Solanaceae. The record is from RNAcentral.